GAGGGGUGCAGUGCUUACCUCAGGCAUCUCCCAAAAGCGACCUGCAUCCCCUCUGGCAGCAGCUUCUAGGUGGAAGAACUGAGGGAAUCUUUGUGCACCUCUACUCACAGACACCAGCCCCACAGCUUCCAUUGCCGCAGUUGGCAGAGUUGGCACUCGGGGUGGGGGCAGCUCUUGGAGACCCCCCCUGGCCCCAAGGCCCACAGGGACAUGACAGCCACCUCCGGGAGCAGCACGCCAUGCGGAGUACUGGAGUCUCAUCACUGAAAAGCCACAUCUUGAGUUAGGUUUGAACCAGCAGCCUUUCAAUUACCUGGCAAAGGUGAGAACCACAGAGCCUGAUAACUGCCUGCUUCCCAACAUUGUCUAAGAUGCACCUGCAGGGUGCAAACUGGUUAGUGCAAAGGGGAAUAUUGCUGGGGUUAGGAGUUCAGGCCUUAGCUGGAGCACUGGUUUCUGUUAUCCAUGUACCUUUCCCCAACUUGCUUUGCCUUAUUCACAUGGAAAGUGCCAUACCGGAGUAAUGAGAGUAAGUUCUAAAAUGUGAAGGUUGGUGCAUAGCUUGGGACUCCCCCCCGCCCCCCCGUGCCACCAUUAGCUCCGGGUGCAUUGUUCACUGGCAGGAAGGAUUGAUUCAUUUGCUACUGAGGAAGCUGCCAGGACAGGUCUCUGGGACCAGAUCUCCCCAAUUCUUCCAGCACAUGCCAGGCUGCCUCCCUGCCCCAGUCACUGCUGCAGGAGGGUCCUGUAUGCAGUGAGCCUAAAGCCUUUCCAAGCCUUCUUAGUGCAGUUGGCAGCGCGUCAGUCUCAUCAUCUGACGGUCCUGAGUUCAAGCCUCAGACAGAGCAAAUGUUUUUGCUCCCCUGCUUCAGAUGUUCUAAAGGAAAUCAGAGAAAAGAGAGCAGAGUGAUUUCUAGACACCCUCCUAUCCAGCCCCCCCCAAACACUUUUCAAAGGCAUGAAAUUUUCCUUCUCCUUUAUUACUCUAAUGUAGCUGGAAAUACCAAUUCCUAGAGACCCCUUCCCACAGGUCACACAACCGUAGUGCAGAAAGCUGGGGGUUGCCAGGUUGUUGUGGGCAUGUAGUGAAAGGGAUGCACAAAAAAUCCACUAGGGCCAUUGCCCCCCUUGCUCACCACCAAGCAGCUUUGACUCUUGAUGACUGUGAUGCUGAGACUCCACUGCCUCAGCAUCCUCAACCUCCACUGGAGGCCAGUUCCUUAGACCUCUGUUCAUAUUCCAGACCCCAGCCGGUCACCUUCUGCCCCAGGUGAACCAGCUGGUGGGCUGCAUCCACAGGUAGGCAGCUUAUACUGCUCCCCUCAGAGCAGCAGCUGCAGCUGUUGGCAGCUAAUCCCCGCCUAAGGCUUGGGGGAAGAAGCUGGGGAUCACAUUUUAUUUCUUCCACACAUCGAGUCUCACUGUGUUUGAACGUAUUUCUCUCUAAACCUGAUUUUAAUUCAGAGCCUCUCCCCCCAUUUCUGCUUUAUGCCUCAUUUCUGUACAGAUGUGAACACAAAGAAACUUUUGGUGACCACUUGCAGCUACUUCCCUAAAGAUUUUUUAAUUUAAUGAUUGCUGCCUCCUACCCCCAUUAAGAACAGCUGAUUUUAUGUCCAGGCGCUUCAUCAUCCUCCAUAACCAUGUCAUCAAAACCACCUGGAUGACUGCUUGACACUCCUGACACUACACAUGCCUCCUCUUUCAUGUGUGUGACAUCCAUGUGGCUGUUGUAAGAUACAUUUCCUCCCAUCUCUAAGGUUUUCACAUUGUCAUCCAGAGUAGUUUCCUUUUCUGUAUUUCUCUGUGAGAUAUCUUCCUCAUGUAAUUUUGGAGGCUCUUUAAAUACUUUUAGUUGGGAGAUACUGUACAACCUUGCUAAAGCUUUCCCUGACUUGUUUUCUAAUUUAACUCUUUUGCCCUCUUGUGAUGUUAUUGACUUGAACUGGGACCGUGCAGAACAUUGUUGCACCCAAGGUCCUGUAGUGGCACCAAAUCUUGCAUAAAUGGGGUCAAAUAAGGUGUCUAAGUCAAGGUUAU
Molecule: long non-coding RNA, 2040 nt
Organism: Dermochelys coriacea (leatherback sea turtle)
Lineage: Eukaryota; Metazoa; Chordata; Testudines; Dermochelyidae
Exons: 3
Source: RefSeq, a predicted model, not a curated record